RNAcentral lists this long non-coding RNA (1088 nucleotides) under Gopherus agassizii (Agassiz's desert tortoise). Its description in RNAcentral is "lncRNA (ENSGAGG00000008510.1)". The record is from RNAcentral. Lineage: Eukaryota; Metazoa; Chordata; Testudines; Testudinidae.
AGAGCCUACGAUACCUACUACUCCAUCCUCACCUGUAACUAAGACCACAGAAACCCCAACAACGAGAAGUACCAGGAAAACAACACCAACCACAUCUGUCUCUACAACCUCCAAAACCACUGCGUCAACAGAAUCCAGCCCAACCUCCUCAGCCAAAACAAGUCGAAGAAGCACAACUCUGACAAGGGCCACAUCUUCCACCAAGUCUCCUGAAACCAGUACAACCGCCAUACCAAUGACACCCACAACCCUCACUCUCACCACGACUCCAUUCUCCACUAGCUCACCAGAGAGCACAACAUCAAAGUCAACCCCGACCACUUCCACUACCUCUACCACGCCCACCACAACCACCACACCAACUACACUCACAACCGUCACUCUGACGACGACAGCCCCGACCAGUACUUCUCCGGAGACCACCACAUCUGAGUCCACCACCGCAAGCACCGUAAAAAUAACUACGCUGACGACAGUUUCUCCAUCUACUACGUCAACUAAGUCCACAACGCGAUCAACACCAACAGUAACUAAGACCGCAGAAACCCCAACAACGAGAAGUACCAGGAAAACAACACCAACCACAUCUGUCUCUACAACCUCCAAAACCACUGCGUCAACAGAAUCCAGCCCAACCUCCUCAGCCAAAACAAGUCGAAGAAUCACAACUCUGACAAGGACUACAUCUUCCACCAAGUCUACUGAAACCAGUACAACCGCCAUACCAACUACACCCACAACCCUCACUCUCACUACGACUCCCUUCUCCACUAGCUCACCAGAGACCACAACAUCAAAGUCAACCCCUACCACUUCCACUACCUUUACCACGCCCACCACAACCACUACACCAACUAUACUCACAACCGUCACUCUGACGACGACGGCCCCGACCAGUACUUCUCCGGAGACUACCCCAUCUGAGUCCACCACCUCAAGCACUGUAAAAAUAACUACGCUGAUGACAGUUUCUCCAACUACUGUGUCAACUAAGUCCACAAUGCGACCAACACCAACAGGUAAACAAACCUCCACCAUAGGAGAUUGAAANACAGCCAACCCCUCAUCCCCUGCCUUGCCUCCAGUCA